RNAcentral lists this ribosomal RNA (722 nucleotides) under uncultured bacterium. RNAcentral describes it as "bacterial SSU rRNA". It matches the Rfam family "Bacterial small subunit ribosomal RNA", at positions 61 to 768 of the family's 1533-position model. The record is from RNAcentral.
GUCGAGGGGCAGCGGGAAGGUUAGCUUGCUAAUCUUUGCCGGCGACCGGCGCACGGGUGAGUAACACGUAUGCAACCUGUCCGGUACAGGGGGAUAAGCGGCGGAAACGCCGUCUAAUACCGCGUGACAACCCGAGGGGGCAUCCCCUUGGGUUCAAAGGAGAGAUCCGGUACCGGCUGGGCAUGCGGCGCAUUAGCUAGUUGGCGGGGCAACGGCCCACCAAGGCGACGAUGCGUAGGGGUUCUGAGAGGAAGGUCCCCCACACUGGAACUGAGACACGGUCCAGACUCCUACGGGAGGCAGCAGUGAGGGAUAUUGGUCAAUGGGCGCAAGCCUGAACCAGCCAAGUCGCGUGAGGGAAGACGGCCCUAUGGGUUGUAAACCUCUUUUGCCGGGGAGCAAGCCUGAGCACGUGUGCCCAGGCGGAGAGUACCCGGAGAAAAAGCAUCGGCUAACUCCGUGCCAGCAGCCGCGGUAAUACGGAGGAUGCGAGCGUUAUCCGGAUUUAUUGGGUUUAAAGGGUGCGCAGGCGGGCUGUUAAGCCGGCGGUAAAAAUUCAGGGCUCAACCCUGUCGAGCCGUCGGAACUGGCAGUCUUGAGUGGGCGAGAAGUAUGCGGAAUGCGUGGUGUAGCGGUGAAAUGCAUAGAUAUCACGCAGAACGCCGAUUGCGAAGGCAGCAUACCGGCGCCCAACUGACGCUGAGGCACGAAAGCGUGGGGAU